Molecule: long non-coding RNA, 771 nt
Organism: Haliotis rubra (blacklip abalone)
Lineage: Eukaryota; Metazoa; Mollusca; Gastropoda; Lepetellida; Haliotidae
Exons: 3
Source: RefSeq, a predicted model, not a curated record
GGGGAAGACAGCAACUCGAUAAUCUUGGUGGUUGGAGAACAGCCUUUGGUUUCAACAACGGUUCCUUCAACGACCAUGACAACUUCAACUGGUCCGACAACUACUGUGACUACUACGACGAUCGCGUCAACCUCGACCACAUCAUCCACAACAUUCACAACAUCGAUGACUACAAAACCAUCACCGACAACAAAGACAAACAUGGCUACAUCGACGACCAUGUAGUCAGAAUCGUCAGCGGAAAGUUCAACGUCAACGUCAACGUCAACUCAGUCAACAGUACAGACAGAGUUACCUCCCUCUGACAAUAAAACAAAGGCACCCAUGACGACCAUGCCAAUUAAAAGAGCCCUGAGUUCAACGUCACCCGUAGCUGAUAGAAGUCCAUCCUUUGACUUCGCCCUGAUAGCGGCAGGAGUGGUCGGCGUCAUCGUCCUUCUGGUAGUGGUAGUCUGCAUCGGCAAAGCCGCCAGAAGACGCUGGAGGGAUCCCUAUGUGUGAUGGACAGUGAAAAACUGAGACAUUUUGUGAAGCUCUGAUUAUAAUUAGGUUUUUGUUAUAAAUGCUCAGCGCUGUUGAAGAGGCGCGUAUAUUGUCUCAUUUCAUAUACGGGCGAAAUACCCACUGGGUUAUGAAAAUAACAAGCAAUUCGGUUAUUGUAUAAUGUGAAUGAAUAGAGAAAUAACAAUAAAAUUGAUUAUCAACCCACGUUUUGCAUUGUAGACACCAUGAAUAAUAUAGCGGUAGUACAAAUUGUCUUAUCCGAACCUU